UGUCAUUGUUUUAUAGAUACCAUAGUGAGAAAGGAUUCAUUUCGCAGCACCUACGGCUUCCACUAGAUGUCAACGAUCUUUAUAAAGUUGUUUGAAGCGUCUAUGAUAAACAGAGAGCAAAUUAGAAUCCAAGGAAGUUGACAUGUCAUCACUUCAUUUUUUUGCGCCUGCGCAUAAAUCUGAGAAACGUGAGUUUGUCAUCAUUUUUUAUCUAGACAUAGGAUAGGUUGUGUGAAAAUAUUACUGAUGUUUAACGUUAAAAAUGGACCAAAAGAUUAAUGCUAAACAACAUUUGACAUGUUUGAACGAACAUAAAUGGAUUAUUUACUCGUUUUUUUUUGCUUUUCGGCGUGAUUUUACACUCCCCACACCACGUUUUGUGGGAGCAUAAUGAACGCUAAGUACUUGGUGUUAUUUGGACAUAAAUUAUGAACUUUGUCAAAAGAAACCACAUUUGUUCCGGACCUGGGAUGCCUUCCGGACCUGGGAUGCCUGCCUUCUGAUGGAGAUAAUCAAAGCCUCAAUCUCCAUUUCCCCCUUUUCUUUCUCUCCCCCUCCAUCUCACUUAUCUAUGUCACUUCCUCUCUCUCUCUCUCUCUCUCUCUCCUUCCCUUCCUUCCCUCCCUCCUUCCCUCACUCCCUCAUGGUUCUGUCUUCUGAACUCUCUCCGGUGGCGGUUUGAAUCCUCCUGUCAGCCAGGUACCCUGACAGAAUCGGGAUGCUUCUUCCCAGUGGGACUUGGGAACGUGGAGCAAGGAGGGAUAACAGGGACAUGUAACAGAGACAGAUUCAGCCAGAUGCAAGCCUCCCAACCACCUGUCUCACAUAUGAUGCACAAUUUAGAGCAUCCAGUGGGGCUGUAUUACCGUCAGGUACGGCAACUGCAGCACCCGGAACCGCAGGGCUCUCCAGUGGGUAGUGCGGUCUGCCCAACGCAUCACCGGGGGCAAACUGCCUGCUUUCCAGGACACCUACAGCAUCCGGUGUCACAGGAUGGCCCAAAAGAUCAUCAAGGACAACAACCACCCGUGCCACUGCUAGUUAACCCCGCUAUCAUCCAGAAGGCGAGGAGCAGGCAGAGAGGAUUACGCACAGGUCCUCUCCAUAGCAGCAACACAGCGGGCACAAAAGCAAUUUUGCAUCAGGCGGCUGGUCCAGACGGCAUCCCUAGCCGCGUCCUCAGAGC
Molecule: long non-coding RNA, 1186 nt
Filed under: Salmo salar (Atlantic salmon)
Lineage: Eukaryota; Metazoa; Chordata; Actinopteri; Salmoniformes; Salmonidae
Description: lncRNA (ENSSSAG00000116464.1)
Source: RNAcentral